RNAcentral lists this ribosomal RNA (335 nucleotides) under Clostridioides difficile. Its description in RNAcentral is "bacterial SSU rRNA". It matches the Rfam family "Bacterial small subunit ribosomal RNA", at positions 1199 to 1533 of the family's 1533-position model. Lineage: Bacteria; Bacillati; Bacillota; Clostridia; Peptostreptococcales; Peptostreptococcaceae. The record is from RNAcentral.
CCCUUAUGCUUAGGGCUACACACGUGCUACAAUGGGUAGUACAGAGGGUUGCCAAGCCGUAAGGUGGAGCUAAUCCCUUAAAGCUACUCUCAGUUCGGAUUGUAGGCUGAAACUCGCCUACAUGAAGCUGGAGUUACUAGUAAUCGCAGAUCAGAAUGCUGCGGUGAAUGCGUUCCCGGGUCUUGUACACACCGCCCGUCACACCACGGGAGUUGGAGACGCCCGAAGCCGAUUAUCUAACCUUUUGGAAGAAGUCGUCGAAGGUGGAAUCAAUAACUGGGGUGAAGUCGUAACAAGGUAGCCGUAUCGGAAGGUGCGGCUGGAUCACCUCCUUU